UGAGACACGGCCCAGACUCCUACGGGAGGCAGCAGUGGGGAAUCUUAGACAAUGGGCGCAAGCCUGAUCUAGCCAUGCCGCGUGAGUGAUGAAGGCCUUAGGGUCGUAAAGCUCUUUCGCCAGAGAUGAUAAUGACAGUAUCUGGUAAAGAAACCCCGGCUAACUCCGUGCCAGCAGCCGCGGUAAUACGGAGGGGGUUAGCGUUGUUCGGAAUUACUGGGCGUAAAGCGCACGUAGGCGGAUCAGAAAGUUGGGGGUGAAAUCCCAGGGCUCAACCCUGGAACGGCCUCCAAAACUCCUGGUCUUGAGUUCGAGAGAGGUGAGUGGAAUUCCGAGUGUAGAGGUGAAA
RNAcentral lists this ribosomal RNA (349 nucleotides) under Seohaeicola sp. RNAcentral's name for it is "bacterial SSU rRNA". It matches the Rfam family "Bacterial small subunit ribosomal RNA", at positions 320 to 686 of the family's 1533-position model. The record is from RNAcentral. Lineage: Bacteria; Pseudomonadati; Pseudomonadota; Alphaproteobacteria; Rhodobacterales; Roseobacteraceae.